Molecule: ribosomal RNA, 402 nt
Filed under: uncultured bacterium
Lineage: Bacteria
Description: bacterial SSU rRNA
Rfam family: Bacterial small subunit ribosomal RNA
Source: RNAcentral
UGGGGUAAUUUUGGACAAUGGGCGCAAGCCUGAUCCAGCAAUGCCGCGUGAGUGAAGAAGGCCUUCGGGUUGUAAAGCUCUUUUAGUUGAAAGAAAAAUCGUGACUAAUAAUCACGAUUCAUGACGGUAUCAACAGAAAAAGCACCGGCUAACUACGUGCCAGCAGCCGCGGUAAUACGUAGGGUGCAAGCGUUAAUCGGAAUUACUGGGCGUAAAGGGUGCGUAGGCGGUUUUGUAAGUCAGAUGUGAAAUCCCCGGGCUUAACCUGGGAAUUGCGUUUGAAACUGCAAGACUAGAGUGCGGCAGAGGGAGUGGAAUUCCAUGUGUAGCAGUGAAAUGCGUAGAGAUAUGGAAGAACAUGAUGGCAAGGCAACGUCCUGGGCUAGCACUGACGCUCAUGCA